GAGUCAGGGUUUCACCAUGUCGGCCAGGCUGGUCUUGAACUCCUGACCUCAGUUGAUCCACCUGCCUCGGCCUCCCAAAGUGCUGGGGUUACAGGGAUGACCCACCAUGCCCGGCCGCAUGUAUGGUUUAAAUGCUGAAAACGACACAACACUGAUGAAAGAAAUCAAAGAUCUAUGUAAAUGGAAACCCCAUACUGUACUCAGGAAUUGGAAGACUCAACAAAGUAAAGAUGCCAACUUUCCCCAAAUUGAUAUACAGGUUUAGCACACUUUCUAUAAAAAUCCCAGUCAUAUUUUUUAUAGAUGAAGACAAGAUUACUCUAAAAUUUAUAUGGAAAGGCAAAGGAAAUAGAAUAGCUAAAAGAAUUUUGAAGAAGAAAAAUAAAGUAGCAGCACAUAUAUCAAUGAAUCAAAAUAGAAAAUCCAGAAAUAGGCCCACCCAAAUAUGCCCAACCAAUUUUUGACAAAAGUGCAAAAGCAAUUCAAUAGAGGAAAGAUAACGUUUUCAAAAAAUGGCGCUGGAGCAAAUGGACACAAAACUUAGACCUAAGUCUGACGUCUUAUACAAAAAUUAAUGGAUCAUAGACUUAAGAAGUAAAACAUAAAACUAUAAAACUUUUUUUUUUUUUGAGACAGGGUCUCCCUCAGUCCCCCAGGCUGGAGUGCAGUGGUGCAAUCUCAGCUCAUUGCAACCUCUGCCUCCUGGGCUCAGUUGAUCUUCCUGCCUCAGCCUUCCAAGUAGCUGGGACUUAAAGGCGUGAGCCACCACACCUGACUAAUUUUCGUAUUUUUUGUAGAGAUGGGGUUUCGCCAUGUUGCCCGGGCUGUUCUCGAACUCCUGAGCUCAAGCAAUCUGCCCACCUCAGCCUCCCAAAGCGCUGGGAUUACAGGCAUGAGCCACCAUCCCAGCCAAAACUAUAAAACUUUUAGAAAAGAACAUAGAAGAAAAUCUUUGGGUCCUGGGGGCAAAGAGCUCUGAGACUUGACAUCAAAAGCAUGCCGCAUAAUAGGAAAAUACUAGACUUUAUUUAGGGGUUAAGAGUUUAGACUCUGGACUCUCUCAGCCUUGGUUUCACUAGUUAGCUCUAUCACUAACUACAUUGGGCAUUGAAAAUUCCUCUGUUGUCCCACGUGGUGCAUGGAUGAUUGUAGACGAGGACACUGAGAUCCUGAAGGCAGAAGUAAUUUCUCUAAGCAACGUUGUUGGUUGGUGGCAGAGUCUGGGUUACAACCCCUGGUUUCCUGAUUCCGAGUCCAAGUGAAAUACUUUUGCCCCUGCAGUAGACCCUGCUACAGAGGAUAAAAAGGCACGUCAUAGGCUAGGAGAAAAAUUUUGCCUACCACAUAUGUAACCAAGGACUAGCAGCUAGGACAUCUGAAGAAUUCUCAACAUUCAACGGGGUAGAAGAAUGAACGAUUCAAUAGAAUAUGGGCAAAAGACAUGAAGAGGCAUUUUACCAAACAUAGGGUGCUAUGGUCCGAAUGUUUGCAUUCUCCUCAAAUUCCUGUGUUGAAAUCCUAACCCCCAAGGUAUUGGUAUUAGGAGGCAGGGGCCCUGGGAAGUGAUUAGGUCAUAAAGGUGGAGUCCUCAUGGAUGGGAUUAGUGUCUUUAUAAAAGAGACCUUUGCCAUGUGAGGUUACAGUGAGAAGACAUCUGUCUAUGAAGAAAGUGGGCCCUCACCAAACACAGUCUGCUGGCACUUUGCACUUCAACUCCCCAGCUUCCAGAACUGUAAGGAAUAUAAGUCUGUUGUUGGUAAGCCACCCGGUCUAUGAUAUUUUGUUAUAGCAGCCCAAACAGACUAAGACAGGUGACAAAUAAACAUGAAAAGAUGUUCAACAUCAUUAGCCAUUAGGGAAAUGCAGAUUAAAACCACAGCGAAAUAUCAUGAUACAGUUUUCAGCAUGGCUAAACUAGAAAAUAGUGACACCACCAAAUGCCGACAAGGCUGUGGGGAAACUGGGUUGUUCAGACACUGCCACUGGGGCUGUAGCGUACUAUAGCCACUUUCAUAAACAGUUUGUCAGUUUCUUAAAAAACUAAACCUGCAACUACCAUAUGACCCAGCAAUUACACCCCUGGGCACCUACCCAAGAGAAAUGAAAACUCAACGUUUGCGCAAAAACCUGUGUAGGAAUGUUCAAGCAGCUUUAUUCAUAAUAUGCCCAAACAGGAAACAACUCAGCUGUCCUUCAGUAGGUAAAUAGUUAAGCAAAUUGUCAUACCCCUGUGUCAUGGAGCACUACCUAGCAAUAACAAGGAGCAAAUUAUUGAUACAUAACAAUCUGGAUGAAUCUCCAGAGAAUUAUGUUGAAUGAAAAAAGCCAGCCCCUGAAGGAUACAUACUGUAUGAUGCCAUUUACAUAACAUUCUUGAAAUUCUAAAAUUACA
Molecule: long non-coding RNA, 2392 nt
Filed under: Homo sapiens (human)
Lineage: Eukaryota; Metazoa; Chordata; Mammalia; Primates; Hominidae
Description: HSALNT0067570
Source: RNAcentral